CACUCCUACGGGAGGCAGCAGUGGGGAAUUUUGGACAAUGGGCGAAAGCCUGAUCCAGCAAUGCCGCGUGAGUGAAGAAGGCCUUCGGGUUGUAAAGCUCUUUUGUCAGGGAAGAAACGGUGAGAGCUAAUAUCUCUUGCUAAUGACGGUACCUGAAGAAUAAGCACCGGCUAACUACGUGCCAGCAGCCGCGGUAAUACGUAGGGUGCAAGCGUUAAUCGGAAUUACUGGGCGUAAAGCGUGCGCAGGCGGUUUUGUAAGUCUGAUGUGAAAUCCCCGGGCUCAACCUGGGAAUUGCAUUGGAGACUGCAAGGCUAGAAUCUGGCAGAGGGGGGUAGAAUUCCACGUGUAGCAGUGAAAUGCGUAGAUAUGUGGAGGAACACCGAUGGCGAAGGCAGCCCCCUGGGUCAAGAUUGACGCUCAUGCACGAAAGCGUGGGGAGCAAACAGGAUUAGAAACCCCGGUAGUCCCAUG
This 474-nucleotide ribosomal RNA is filed under the name uncultured organism. RNAcentral describes it as "partial 16S ribosomal RNA". It matches the Rfam family "Bacterial small subunit ribosomal RNA", at positions 334 to 799 of the family's 1533-position model. The record is from RNAcentral.